Sander lucioperca (pikeperch) is the source of this 976-nucleotide long non-coding RNA. RefSeq lists it as uncharacterized. The transcript has 3 exons. The record is from RefSeq and is a predicted model, not a curated record. Lineage: Eukaryota; Metazoa; Chordata; Actinopteri; Perciformes; Percidae.
CUUCCGGUUCAUCUCCUGUCGAGGCAGGGCGUAGAGUACACCAAGGCCCAGAGAGAUUUUGCCCUUACGCUCCAUCUGCAUGGUCCAAAGGCGUAUCAUUACCUGAGAGAUACCCUGCAUAUUCAACUGCCACAUCCCAGUUCAUUGCAAAGGUGGCUGAGCUCUCUUGAUGCCAGACCUGGUCUCAAUAAAAUGAUGUUGGACAUGCUGGAAAGACGACGUCAGGAAGAUGAGGUCAAGUACGGAUGUGUCACUCUGAUGCUGGAUGCCAUGUCCAUCAAAAAUCACGUCCAGUAUGAUCCUCAGACACAAACAAUGUCUGGAUAUGUGGACAUGGGGGAUCGAUUGAAUGAGACUGACAUGGCUUCUGAGGUUCUUGUGUUUAUGGUGGUUGGGCUUCAAUGUUAUUGGAAAGCUCCAAUUGCGUAUUAUUUGACCAAGUCCCUCACACCACAAUCACAGUCUUAGUAGAGCAUGCGUUAGAAGAGCUGCAUCGUCGUCAGAUAAGAGUGGUGUGCAUGACAAUGGAUGGUCAUGCAUCCAAUGUCAGUAUGUGCACUCAACUUGGGUGCGAUCUCAAAGCAGACCCCUGUGAGCCCUUGAAGACCCAUUUUCCACAUCCAGUAACCCAUGACAAUGUUUUUGUUAUGAUGGACGCUUGCCACAUGCUGAAGCUGACACGCAAUAUGUUGCAGGCAUACAGCCCAAUCAGAAGCAUAACUGGCAGUAUCAAUUGGAAGUACAUAGUUCAUCUGAACAAUGUCAAAAAGAAAAGUGGACUACAUGCUGCCAACAGAGUCACAGAUAAGCAUGUGAACUUUGCUAAUCAGAAGAUGAAGGUAUGUUUGUAUGAUGAUUUAUGUAUUGAGGGCCACAAUAGUAAUGUGCUUUAGGACUUUAUUGUGUUUUUAUACUUUUUGAUGAUGUUUGUAUCUUGUAGCGCUAAUGUGCUCUUCAUUUCUCCAUAUAAACUCAA